RNAcentral lists this non-coding RNA (23 nucleotides) under Arabidopsis thaliana (thale cress). The record is from RNAcentral. Lineage: Eukaryota; Viridiplantae; Streptophyta; Magnoliopsida; Brassicales; Brassicaceae.
GGGAUUGGCAAAGUCAAAUGUGG